GACGAACGCUGGCGGCGUGCCUAAUACAUGCAAGUAGAACGCACAGUUUAUACCGUAGCUUGCUACACCAUAGACUGUGAGUUGCGAACGGGUGAGUAACGCGUAGGCAACCUGCCUGGUAGCGGGGGAUAACUAUUGGAAACGCUAGCUAAUACCGCAUAAUAUUAAUUAUUGCAUGAUAAUUAAUUGAAAGGUGCAAUUGCACCACUACCAGAUGGACCUGCGUUGUAUUAGCUAGUAGGUGAGGUAACGGCUCACCUAGGCGACGAUACAUAGCCGACCUGAGAGGGUGAUCGGCCGCACUGGGACUGAGACACGGCCCAGACUCCUACGGGAGGCAGCAGUAGGGAAUCGUCGGCAAUGGACGAAAGUCUGACCGAGCAACGCCGCGUGAGGGAAGAAGGUUUUCGGAUCGUAAAGCUCUGUUGUAAGAGAAGAACGGGUGUGAGAGUGGAAAGUUCACACUGUGACGGUAUCUUACCAGAAAGGGACGGCUAACUACGUG
RNAcentral lists this ribosomal RNA (505 nucleotides) under uncultured bacterium. Its description in RNAcentral is "partial 16S ribosomal RNA". It matches the Rfam family "Bacterial small subunit ribosomal RNA", at positions 28 to 507 of the family's 1533-position model. The record is from RNAcentral.